Molecule: ribosomal RNA, 446 nt
Filed under: uncultured bacterium
Lineage: Bacteria
Description: bacterial SSU rRNA
Rfam family: Bacterial small subunit ribosomal RNA
Source: RNAcentral
UCCAGACUCCUACGGGAGGCAGCAGUCGGGAAUAUUGCGCAAUGGAGGAAACUCUGACGCAGUGACGUCGCGUGCAGGAAGAAGGUUUUCGGAUUGUAAACUGCUUUAGACAGGGAAGAAAAAGGACAGUACCUGUAGAAUAAGCUCCGGCUAACUACGUGCCAGCAGCCGCGGUAAUACGUAGGGAGCAAGCGUUAUCCGGAUUUAUUGGGUGUAAAGGGUGCGUAGACGGGAAGGCAAGUUGGUUGUGAAAUCCCUCGGCUUAACUGAGGAACUGCAACCAAAACUAUCUUUCUUGGGUGCUGGAGAGGAAAGUGGAAUUCCUAGUGUAGCGGUGAAAUGCGUAGAUAUUAGGAGGAACACCAGUGGCGAAGGCGACUUUCUGGACAGUAACUGACGUUGGGGCACGAAAGUGUGGGGAGCAAACAGGAUUAGAUACCCGGGUA